This 855-nucleotide ribosomal RNA is filed under the name Orcula restituta. Its description in RNAcentral is "partial 16S ribosomal RNA". The record is from RNAcentral. Lineage: Eukaryota; Metazoa; Mollusca; Gastropoda; Stylommatophora; Orculidae.
UAAUCCUGAUCAUAUGAUUCUCCCCGAAAAUAAAAGAUCUACGCUUUCACUUUAUUUUAGAAAUGAUUAUAUAAUGUUGCAUUAUUAUAAUAAAAGGAUAGCGUAGGGGUGAAACACUUUCAAUUUUAUUGAUAUCUGGAUAAAACCUAUAUGAAUUUAGUUCAUAAGAUAGCCAUAAAGUUAUAAGAUUUUAUGGGGGUAGAAUAGUAAUAAUUUUGUUUUAUCGGAAUAAAGUUCCUAACUAAACAUACUGUUAUUAAUUUAUGUUUGUUAGUAUCUUUUCAAUAGGUUUAUAGUUUCUAGAAAUUUAUUACACUAAAUUUAAUAAUGUUUAAAUUAGUAAAAGAUUUAAUAUAACUUAAGGAACUCGGCAAAUAUAGUUUUCAACUAGUUUAGCAAAAACAUAGCUUUAAGAAAUUUAAUAUAUUUAAAGUUAAAUCUGCCCAGUGAUAGAUAUUUAACGGCCGCAGUACACUGACUGUGCUAAGGUAGCAUAAUAAAUUGACUUUUAAUUGGAGUCGGGUAUGAAUGGAUAAUUGAGAACUUCCUGUCUCAAGUUAUUUAUAUUUAAUUUACUUAAAAGGUGCAAAUUCCUUUAUAUUUAUAUGUAAGACGAGAAGACCCUAAGAAUUAUAGUUAAGAAGUUUAUACAACUUAAAAUUUUUGUUGGGGCAACAAAUUUGGUGAACCAAAUUAUAAUAAUAUUUAUGAACAAAAAAUGAUUUUAUAAAAUGAGAUAAAUUACCUUAGGGAUAACAGCAUAAUUAAUUAACUAGAUUGUGACCUCGAUGUUGGACUAAGGACUUAAUUAAAUAGCCUUUAAUGAAGAUAGUUCUGUUCGAACUGAAAACCUUA